RNAcentral lists this ribosomal RNA (498 nucleotides) under uncultured bacterium. RNAcentral describes it as "bacterial SSU rRNA". It matches the Rfam family "Bacterial small subunit ribosomal RNA", at positions 501 to 1000 of the family's 1533-position model. The record is from RNAcentral.
CUACGUGCCAGCAGCCGCGGUAAUACGGAGGGUGCGAGCGUUAGUCGGAAUAACUGGGCGUAAAGGGCACGCAGGCGGUGACUUAAGUGAGGUGUGAAAGCCCCGGGCUUAACCUGGGAAUUGCAUUUCAUACUGGGUCGCUAGAGUACUUUAGGGAGGGGUAGAAUUCCACGUGUAGCGGUGAAAUGCGUAGAGAUGUGGAGGAAUACCGAAGGCGAAGGCAGCCCCUUGGGAAUGUACUGACGCUCAUGUGCGAAAGCGUGGGGAGCAAACAGGAUUAGAUACCCUGGUAGUCCACGCUGUAAACGAUGUCGAUUUGGGGGUUGAGCUUUGAGCUUGGCGCCCGUAGCUAACGUGAUAAAUCGACCGCCUGGGGAGUACGGCCGCAAGGUUAAAACUCAAAUGAAUUGACGGGGGCCCGCACAAGCGGUGGAGCAUGUGGUUUAAUUCGAUGCAACGCGAAGAACCUUACCUACUCUUGACAUCCAGAGAACAUUC